RNAcentral lists this ribosomal RNA (253 nucleotides) under uncultured bacterium. Its description in RNAcentral is "partial 16S ribosomal RNA". It matches the Rfam family "Bacterial small subunit ribosomal RNA", at positions 524 to 776 of the family's 1533-position model. The record is from RNAcentral.
UACGUAGGGGGCAAGCGUUGUCCGGAUUUAUUGGGCGUAAAGAGCGUGUAGGCGGCCUAGUAGGUCAGCUGUGAAAACUCGAGGCUCAACCUCAAGCUGUCGGUUGAAACCACUAGGCUAGAGUCCGGAAGAGGAGAAUGGAAUUCCCGGUGUAGCGGUGAAAUGCGCAGAUAUCGGGAAGAACACCCGUGGCGAAGGCGGUUCUCUGGGACGGUACUGACGCUGAGACGCGAAAGCGUGGGGAGCGAACAGG